This is a small nuclear RNA of Camelus dromedarius (Arabian camel), 106 nucleotides long. The record is from Ensembl. Lineage: Eukaryota; Metazoa; Chordata; Mammalia; Artiodactyla; Camelidae.
GUGCUCACUUUGCAGCACAUACACUAAAAUUGGAAUGAGACAGAGAAGAUGUGAAUGGCCCCUGCACAGGGAUGACAGGCCAAUUUGUGAAGUGUUCCAGGUUUUU